This 89-nucleotide transfer RNA is filed under the name Paraburkholderia fynbosensis. RNAcentral describes it as "tRNA-Ala". The record is from RNAcentral. Lineage: Bacteria; Pseudomonadati; Pseudomonadota; Betaproteobacteria; Burkholderiales; Burkholderiaceae.
CGCAGCAGGGCCGUGACGGCGUCGACGGCUUGCAGCAGUUGCGCGCUGGUCAACUGGCGCGCGUCCUCGAUCAAGGCGAUGUGCUGCGG